RNAcentral lists this ribosomal RNA (305 nucleotides) under uncultured bacterium. Its description in RNAcentral is "bacterial SSU rRNA". It matches the Rfam family "Bacterial small subunit ribosomal RNA", at positions 337 to 634 of the family's 1533-position model. The record is from RNAcentral.
ACCUACGGGGGGCAGCAGUGGGGAAUAUUCCACAAUGGGCGAAAGCCCGAUGGAGCAACGCCGCGUGGGUGAAGAAGGUCUUCGGAUCGUAAAACCCUGUUGUUAGAGAAGAAAGUGCGUGAGAGUAACUGUUCACGUUUCGACGGUAUCUAACCAGAAAGCCACGGCUAACUACGUGCCAGCAGCCGCGGUAAUACGUAGGUGGCAAGCGUUAUCCGGAUUUAUUGGGCGUAAAGGGAACGCAGGCGGUCUUUUAAGUCUGAUGUGAAAGCCUUCGGCUUAACCGGAGUAGUGCAUUGGAAACU